Molecule: transfer-messenger RNA, 374 nt
Filed under: Candidatus Dormiibacterota bacterium
Lineage: Bacteria; Bacillati; Candidatus Dormiibacterota
Also listed under: 1 other name
Rfam family: transfer-messenger RNA
About the family: Bacterial tmRNA, also known as 10Sa RNA or SsrA, is named for its dual tRNA and mRNA-like properties. Its role is to liberate the mRNA from a stalled ribosome. To accomplish this part of the tmRNA is used as a reading frame that ends in a translation stop signal.
Source: RNAcentral
GGGGGCGUUUGGUUUCGACGGGGUCGUGGGUUGCACGAUGGCGAGCCGAGCCCCGGGCUCGUAAAACCGGGAACAACAUACGUGCGAAUGACGCACCUGUCGCCCUCGCUGCGUAAGUAGCAGAGACGAAGAAAGCGCAGGCUACGGCCUGACGUCGACCGCUCCCUCGGCCGUGGGGAGCGGACCCGACGCUAAUGCAAGCGGUCUUGCCGCCCGCCGGCGUCUCGGCGGUGGGCGGGACAUUCACCGAGACUGGCCGGCACGGAGCCUGGUCCCAGGGCGCCGCGCAGGUGAGAUCAAUACCGGGACUACGCUCGUAGAGGUCGCACGGAACGCGGCUUCGGACCCGGGUUCGACUCCCGGCGCCUCCAAAU